Molecule: ribosomal RNA, 466 nt
Filed under: uncultured bacterium
Lineage: Bacteria
Description: partial 16S ribosomal RNA
Rfam family: Bacterial small subunit ribosomal RNA
Source: RNAcentral
GAUGAACGCUGGCGGCGUGCUUAACACAUGCAAGUCGAACGAUGAAGCCCAGCUUGCUGGGUGGAUUAGUGGCGAACGGGUGAGUAACACGUGAGUAACCUGCCCUUAACUCUGGGAUAAGCCUGGGCAACUGGGUCUAAUACCGGAUAGGAGCGUCCACCGCAUGGUGGGUGUUGGAAAGAUUUAUCGGUUUUGGAUGGACUCGCGGCCUAUCAGCUUGUUGGUGAGGUAAUGGCUCACCAAGGCGACGACGGGUAGCCGGCAUGAGAGGGUGACCGGCCACCCUGGGACUGAGACACGGCCCAGACUCCUACGGGAGGCAGCAGUGGGGAAUAUUGCACAAUGGGCGCAAGCCUGAUGCAGCGACGCCGCGUGAGGGAUGACGGCCUUCGGGUUGUAAACCUCUUUCAGUAGGGAAGAAGCGAAAGUGACGGUACCUGAAGAAGAAGCACCGGCUAACUACGUG